This is a non-coding RNA of Rattus norvegicus (Norway rat), 13913 nucleotides long. NCBI's taxonomy places the organism in Eukaryota, Metazoa, Chordata, Mammalia, Rodentia, Muridae. The record is from RefSeq and is a predicted model, not a curated record.
UUAGCUCUGAACCCCAUUUUUUAAUAGGGUUAUUUGUUUCCCUGCGGUCUAACUUCUUGAGUUCUUUGUAUAUUUUGGAUAUAAGGCCUCUAUCUGUUGUAGGAUUGGUAAAGAUCUUUUCCCAAUCUGUUGGUUGCCGUUUUAUCGUAACCAGUGUCCUUUGCCUUACAGAAGCUUUGCAGUUUUAUGAGAUCCCAUUUGUCGAUUCUUGAUCUUAGAGCGUAAGCCAUUGGUGUUUUGUUCAGGAAAUUUUUUCCAGUGCCCAUGUGUUCCAGAUGCUUCCCUAGUUUUUCUUCUAUUAGUUUGAGUGUGUCUGGUUUGAUGUGGAGGUCCUUGAUCCACUUGGACUUAAGCUUCGUACAGGGUGAUAAGCAUGGAUCGAUCUGCAUUCUUCUGCAUGUUGCCCUCCAGUUGAACCAGCACCAUUUGCUGAAAAUGCUAUCUUUUUUCCAUUGGAUGGUUUUGGCUCCUUUGUCAAAAAUCAAGUGACCAUAGGCGUGUGGGUUCAUUUCUGGGUCUUCAAUUCUAUUCCAUUGGUCUAUCUGUCUGUCUCUGUACCAAUACCAUGCAGUUUUUAUCACUAUUGCCCUGUAAUACUGCUUGAGUUCAGGGAUAGUGAUUCCCCCUGAAGUCCUUUUAUUGUUGAGGAUAGCUUUAGCUAUCCUGGUUUUUUGUUAUUCCAGAUGAAUUUGCAAAUUGUUCUGUCUAACUCUUUGAAGAAUUGGAUUAGUAUUUUGAUGGGGAUUGCAUUGAAUCUGUAGAUUGCUUUUGGUAAAAUGGCCAUUUUUACUAUAUUAAUCCUGCCAAUCCAUGAGCAUGGGAGAUCUUUCCAUCUUCUGAGGUCUUCAAUUUCUUUCCUCAGUGUCUUGAAGUUCUUAUUGUACAGAUCUUUUACUUGCUUGGUUAAAGUCACACCGAGGUACUUUAUAUUAUUUGGGUCUAUUAUGAAGGGUGUCGUUUCCCUAAUUUCUUUCUCAGCUUGUUUCUCUUUUUUAUAGAGGAAGGCAACUGAUUUAUUUGACUUAAUUUUAUACCCAGCCACUUUGCUGAAGUUGUUUAUCAGCUUUAGUAGUUCUCUGGUGAAACUUUUGGGAUCACUUAAAUAUACUAUCAUAUCAUCUGCAAAUAGUGAUAUUUUGACUUCUUCUUUUCCGAUCUGUAUCCCCUUGAUGAUCUCCUUUUGUUGUCUGAUUGCUCUGGCUAGAACUUCAAGAACUAUAUUGAAUAACUAGGGAGAGAGUGGGCAGCCUUAUCUAGUCCCUGAUUUUAGUGGGAUUGCUUCAAGUUUCUCUCCAUUUAGUUUAAUGUUAGCAACUGGUUUGCUGUAUAUGGUUUUUACUAUGUUAAGUAUGGGCCUUGAAUUCCUAUUCUUUCCAGGACUUUUAUCAUGAAGGGGUGUUGAAUUUUGUCAAAUGCUUUCUCAGCAUCUAAUGAAAUGAUCAUGUGGUUCUGUUCUUUCAGUUUGUUUAUAUAAUGGAUCACGUUGAUGGUUUUCCAUAUAUUAAACCAUCCCUGCAUGCCUGGGAUGAAGCCUACUUGAUCAUGGUGGAUGCUUGUUUUGAUGUGCUCUUGAAUUCGGUUUCCCAGAAUUUUAUUGAGUAUUUUUGCGUCGAUAUUCAUAAGGGAAAUUGGUCUGAAGUUCUCUUUCUUUGUUGUGUCUUUUUGUGGUUUAGGUAUAAGAGUAAUUGUGGCUUCGUAGAAGGUAUUCGGUAGUGAUCCAUCUGUUUCAACUUUGUGGAAUAGUUUGGAUAAUAUUGGUAUGAGGUCUUCUAUGAAGGUUUGAUAGAAUGCUGCACUAAACCCGUCUGGACCUGAGCUCCUUUUAGUUGGGAGACCUUUAAUGACUGCUUCUAUUUCCUUAGGAGUUAUGGGGUUGUUUAACUGGUUUAUCUGUUCCUGAUUUAACUUCGAUACCUGGUAUCUGUCUAGGAAAUUGUCCAUUUUCUGGAGAUUUUCAAGUUUUGUUGAAUAUAGGUUUUUAUAGUAAGAUCUGAUGAUUUUUUGAAUUUCCUCUGAAUCUGUAGUUAUGUCUCCCUUUUCAUUUCUGAUUUUGUUAAUUUGGACGCACUCUCUGUGUCCUCUCGUUAGUCUGGCUAAGGGUUUAUCUAUCUUAUUGAUUUUCUCAAAGAACCAACUUUUGGUUCUGUUGAUUCUUUCUAUGGUCCUUUUUGUUUCUACUUGGUUGAUUUCAGCUCUGAGUUUGAUUAUUUCCUGCCUUCUACUCCUCCUGGGUGUAUUUGCUUCUUUUUGUUCUAGAGCUUUUAGGUGUGCUGUCAAGCUGCUGACAUAUGCUCUUUCCUGUUUCUUUCUGCAGGCACUCAGUGCUAUGAGUUUUCCUCUUAGCACAGUUUUCAUUGUGUCCCAUAAGUUUGGGUAUGUUGUACCUUCAUUUUCAUUAAAUUCUAAAAAGUUUUUAAUUUCUUUAUUUCUUCCUUGACCAUUGAGUAGAGCAUGGUUCAAUUUCCACAUAUAUGUGGGCAUUCUUCCCUUAUUGUUAUUGAAAACCAGUUUUAGGCCGUGGUGGUCCGAUAGAACGCAUGGGAUUAUUUCUUUCUGUACUUGUUGAGGCCCGUUUUUUGACCAAUUAUAUGGUCAAUUUUGGAGAAAGUACCAUGAGGAGCUGAGAAGAAGGUAUAUCCUUUUGCUUUAGGAUAGAAUGUUCUAUAAAUAUCCGUUAAGUCCAUUUGGCUCAUGACUUCUCUUAGUCUGUCGACAUCACUGUUUAAUUUCUGUUUCCAUGAUCUGUCCAUUGAUGAGAGUGGGAUGUUGAAAUCUCCCACUAUUAUUGUGUGAGGUGCAAUGUGUGUUUUGAGCUUUAGUAAGGUUUCUUUUACGUAUGUAGGUGCCCUUGUAUUUGGGGCAUAGAUACUUAGGAUUGAGAGUUCAUCUUGGUGGAUUUUUCCUUUGAUGAAUAUGAAGUGUCCUUCCUUAUCUUUUUUGAUGACUUUUAGUUGAAAAUUGAUUUUAUUUGAUAUUAGAAUGGCUACUCCAGCUUGCUUCUUCUGACCAUUUGCUUGGAAAGUUGUUUUCCAGCCUUUCACUCUGAGGUAGUGUCUGUCUUUGUCUCUGAGGUGUGUUUCCUGUAGGCAGCAGAAUGCAGGGUCCUCAUUGCGUAUCCAGUUUGUUAAUCUAUUUCUUUUUAUUGGGGAGUUGAGGCCAUUGAUGUUGAGAGAUACUAAGAAAUAGUGAUUAUUGCUUCCCUUUAUAUUCAUAUUUGGAUGUGAGGUUAUGUUUGUGUGCUUUCAUUCUCUUUGUUUUGUUGCCAAGACGAUUAGUUUCUUGCUUCUUCUAGGGUAUAGCUUGCCUCCUUAUGUUGGGCUUUACCAUUUAUUAUCCUUUGUAGUGCUGGAUUUGUAGAAAGAUAUUGUGUAAAUUUGGUUUGUCAUGGAAUAUCUUGGUUUCUCCAUCUAUGUUAAUUGAGAGUUUUGCAGGAUACAGUAACCUGGGCUGGCAUUUGUGUUCUCUUAGGGUCUGUAUGACAUCAGUCCAGGAUCUUCUGGCCUUCAUAGUUUCUGGCGAGAAGUCUGGUGUGAUUCUGAUAGGUCUGCCUUUAUAUGUUACUUGACCUUUUUCCCUUACUGCUUUUAAUAUUCUUUCUUUAUUUUGUGCGUUUGGUGUUUUGACAAUUAUGUGACGGGAGGUGUUUCUUUUCUGGUCCAGUCUAUUUGGCUUCUUGUAUGUCUAUAGGUAUCUCUUUUUUUAGGUUAGGGAAGUUUUCUUCUAUGAUUUUGUUGAAGAUAUUUACUGGUCCUUUGAGCUGGGAGUCUUCACUCUCUUCUAUACCUAUUAUCCUUAGGUUUGAUCUUCUCAUUGAGUCCUGGAUUUCCUGUAUGUUUUGGACCAGUAGCUUUUUCCGCUUUACAUUAUCUUUGACAGUUGAGUCAAUGAUUUCUAUGGAAUCUUCUGCUCCUGAGAUUCUCUCUUCCAUCUCUUGUAUUCUGUUGGUGAAGCUUGUAUCUACAGCUCCUUGUCUCUUCUUUUGGUUUUCUAUAUCCAGGGUUGUUUCCAUGUGUUCUUUCUUGAUUGCUUCUAUUUCCAUUUUUAAUUCCUUCAACUGUUUGAUUGUGUUUUCCUGGAAUUCUUUCAGGGAUUUUUGCGAUUCUUUCAGGGAUUUUUGCGAUUCCUCUCUGUAGGCUUCCACUUGUUUAUUAAUGUUUUCCUGUGUUUCCCUAAGGGAGUUCUUCACGUCUUUCUUGAAGUCCUCCAUCAUCAUGAUCAAAUAUGAUUUUGAAACUAGAUCUUGCUUUUCUGGUGUGUUUGGAUAUUCCAUGUUUGUUUUGGUGGGAGAAUUGGGCUCCGAUGAUGCCAUGUAGUCUUGGUUUCUGUUGCUUGGGUUCCUGCGCUUGCCUCUCGCCAUCAGAUUAUCUCUAGUGUUACUUUGUUCUGCUAUUUCUGACAGUGGCUAGACUGUCCUAUAAGCCUGUGUGUCAGGAGUGCUGUAGACCUGUUUUCCUCUCUUUCAGUCAUUUAUGGGGACAGAGUGUUCUGCUUUCGGGCGUGUAGUUUUUCCUCUCUACAGGUCUUCAGCUGUUCCUGUGGGCCUGUGUCUUGAGUUCACCAGGCAGCUUUCUUGCAGCAGAAAAGUUGGUCUUACCUGUGGUCCCGAGGCUCAAGUUCGCUCGUGGGGUGCUGCCCUCAGGCUCUCUGCAGCGGCAGCAACCAGGAAGAUAUGCGCCGCCCCUUCCGGGAGCUUCAGUGCACCAGGGUUCCAGAUGGCCUUUGGUGUUUUCCUCUGGCGUCCGAGAUGUGUGUGCAGAGAGCAGUCUCUUCUGGUUUCCCAGGCUUGUCUGCCUCUCUGAAGGUUUAGCUCUCCCUCCCACGGGAUUUGGGUGCAGAGAACUGUUUAUCCGGUCUGUUUCCUUCAGGUUCUGGCGGUGUCUCAGGCAGGGGUCCUGCCGCUCCUGGGCCCUCCCCCACGGGAGCCCAGAGGCCUUAUACAGUUUCCUCUUGGGCCAGGGAUGUGGGCAGGGGUGGGCAGUGUUGGUGGUCUCCUCCUCUCUGCAGCCUCAGGAGUGCCCACCUGACCAGGCGGUUGGGUUUCUCUCUCACGGGGUCUGGGAGCAGAGAGCUGCUGCAGGCCGGAUCCGCGGGUGUGGGACUUCCGGUAAACACAGGCCGUGCCCGGUCCUAGAGGAAUUCUGCCUCCGUGUGUCCUGAGCUUACCAGGCAGCUUUCUUGCAGCAGAAAAGUUGGUCCUACCUGUGGUCCCGAGGCUCAAGUUCGCUCGUGGGGUGUUGCCCACGGGCUCUCUGCAGCGGCAGCUUGCCUAUGAAUUUAAUGAAGUCAUUGUUUUUAACAUCUGAUUAGUACUCCAUUGUAUAAAUGUACCACAUUUUCUGUAUCCAUUCCUCUGUUGAGGGAUAUCUGGGUUCUUUUCAGCUUAUGGCUAUUAUAAAUAAGGCUGCUAUUAACAUAGUGAGCGAUCUAUCCUUGUUGUAUGUUACAGCAUCUUUUGGGUAUAUGCCCUGAAGUAGUAUAGCUGGGUCCUCAAGUAGUACUAUGUUCAAUUUUCUGAGGAACCUCCAGACUGAUUUCCAGAAUGGUUGUACCAGCUUGCAAUCCCACCAACAAUGGAGGAGUGUUCCUCCUUCUCCACAUCUUUCCCAGCAUCUACUGUCACCUGACUUUGGAUUGUUAGCCAUUCUGACUAGUGUGAGGUAAAAUCUAAGGGUAGUUUUGAUUUGCAUUUCCCCAAUGACUAAGGAUGUUGAACAUUUCUUUAGGUGCUUCACAGUCAUUUAAUAUUCUUCAGUUGAGAAUGAUUUGCUUAGCACUCUACACCAUUUUUUAAAAUUUUUAUUGGAUAUUUUUUUAAUUUAUACUUCAAAAAUUAUUCCCUUUACCGAUUUCCCGGACAUAAGCCCCCUAUCCCAUCCCCCUCCCCUUCUUCUAUACUGGUGUUCCCAUCCACUCCCCUUCUCAACACCCCAACAUUCCCCUACACUGGGGGUCCAACCUUGGCAGAACCAAGGGCUUCUCCUUCCAUUGGUGCCCAGCAAGGCCUUCCUCUGCUACAUAUGCAGUUGGAGCCAUGUGUCAGUCCAUGUAUAGUCUAUGGGUAGUGGUUUAGUCCCUGGGAGCUCUGGUUGGUUGGUAUUGUUGUUCUUAUGGUGUUGCAAGCCCCUUCAGCUCUUUCAAUCCUUUCUCUAAUUCUUUCAACAGGGGUCCUGUUCUCAGUUCACUGGUUUCCUGCUAGCAUUUGCCUCUGUAUUUGACACACUCUGACUAUGUCUCUCAGGAGACAUUUAUAUCUGGUUCCUGUCAGCAUGCACUUCUUAGCUUCAUCAUUUUUAUCUAGACUUGGUGGUUGUGUAUAUAUGGGGCACAUGUGGGGCAGGUUUUCAAUGGCCAUUCCUUCAGUCUACUCCAAACUUUGCCACCACAUCCCCUCCUAUCGGUAUUUUUGUUCCCCAUUUUAAGAAGAACUGAAGCAACCACACUUUGUUCAUCCUUUUUGAGCUUCAUAUGGUUUGUGUAUUGCAUCCUAGGUAAUUUGAGCUUUUGGGAUAAUAUGCACUUAUCAGUAAGUACAUACCAUGUGUGUUUUUCUGUGAUUACCUCACUCAGGAUGAUAUUUUCUAGUCCAAUCCAUUUGCCUAUGAAGUCAUUGUUUUUGAUAGCUGAAUAGUAAUCCAUUGUGUAAAUGUACCAUGUAUUCAUUCCUCUGUUGAAGGACAUCUGAGUUCUUUCCAGCUUCUGGCUAUUAUAAAUAAGGCUGCUAUGAACAUAGUGUAGCAUGUGCCCUUGUUAUACGUUGGCACAUCUUUUGGGUACAUGCCCAGGAGAGGUAUAGCUGGAUCCACAGGUAGUGGAAAGUCCAAUUUUCUGAGGAACCUCCAGACUGAUUUUGAGAGUUUUACCCUAUUUUUAAUAGGGUUAUUUGAUUCUCUCGAGUCUACCUUCUUGAGUUCUUUGUAUAUAGUGCAUAUCUGAUGUAGGAUUGGUAAAGAUCUUUUCGCAAUCUGUUGGUUGUCAUUUUGUCCUAAUGACAGUGUCCUUUGCCUUACAGAAUCUUUGCAAUUUUAUGAAGUACCAUUUGUUGAUUCUUGAUCUUAGAGCCUAAGCCAUUUUGUUCUAUUCAGGAAAUUUUCCCCAGUGCCUAUGUGGUUUUUUUUCUGUUAGUCUGAGUGUAUCUGGUUGUAUGUGGAAGUCCUUGAUCCACUUGGACUGGUUGGUACAGGGAUAUAAGAAUGGAUCAAUUCUCAUUCUUCUACAUGUUGACCUUCAGUUGAACCAGCACCAUUUGUUGAAAAUGCUUUUUUCCACUGGAUGGUUUUAGCUCUUUGUCAAAGAACAAGUGACCAUGGGUGUGUGAGUUAAUUUCUGGGUCUACAAUUCCAUUUCAUUGAUCUACUUGCCUGUGUCUGUAACAAUACCAUAGAGCUGUUUUUUAUCACUAUUGUUCUGUAAUAGAGCUGAUUUGCUGUAUAUUGCUUUUACUAUGUUUGUUUAUGUAUGGGCCUUGAGUUCCUGGUCUUUCCAGGACUUUGAACAUGAAGGGGUAUUGAAUUUUGUUAAAUGCAUUCUCAGCAUCUAAUGAGAUGAUCAUGAGGUUAUUUCUUUGAGUUUGUUUAUAUAGUAAAUUAUGUUGAUAGACUUCCAUAUAUUGAACCAUGCCUGCAUCCCUGGGAUGAAGCCUACUUGAUCAUGAUGGAUGGUCAUUUUGAUGUGUUGUUUGUGUUUGUGAGAAUUUUAUUGAAUUUUUGCAUUGAUAUUCAUAAGGGAAAUUGGUCUAAAGUUCUCUUUCUUUGUUGGGUCUUUGUGUGGUUUAGAUAUAACAGCAAUUAUGGCUUCAUAAAAGGAAUUGGAUAGUGUUCCUUCUGUUUCUAUUUUAUGGAAGAGUUUGGACAGUAUUGGUAUGAGGUCUUCUAUGAUGGUCUGAUAGUGUUGGGAGACUUUAAGUGACUGCUUCUAUUAUUUUAGAAGUUAUAGGAGUGUUUAUGCACUUUAUAUGAUCCUGAUUUAACUUUGGUACCUGGUAUCUGUCUAGAAAAUUGUACAUUUCAUCUACAGUUUCCUGUUUUGUUGAGUGUAGACUUUUGUAGUAGGAUCUGAUGAUUUUUUUUUAAUUUCCUCAGUUUCUGUUGUUGUUUCCCUUUUCAUUUAUGAUUUUGUUAACUUGAAUAAUCUUUCUGUGGCCCUUGGUUUGUCUGGCUAUGGGUUAAUUUAUCUUGUUGAUUUUCUCAAAGCACCAGCUCCUGGUUGUUUUGAUGCUUUGUAUAGUUCUUUUUGUUUCUAUUUGGUUGAUGUCAGCCCUGAGUUUGAUUUGUUCCUGCUAUUUACUCCUCUUGGCUGUAUUUACUUCCUUGAGCUUUUUUUUAUGUGUGCUAUCCAUCUGUUAAUUUAUGCUAUCUCCAGUUUCUUUAUGGAAGUACUCAGAGCUAUGCAUUUUACUCUUAGCACUACUUUCAUUCUAUCCCAUAAGUUUGGGUAUGUUGUGCCUUCAUUUUCAUUAAAUUGUAUCUUUUUUCAUUUUGUCCUGACCAAGUUAUCAUUGAGUAGAACAUUGUUCAGCUUCCAUGUGUAUGUGGGCUUUCUGUCAUUUUUGUUGUUAUUGAAGACUAGUCUUAGUCCCUGGUGAUCUUAUAGAAUGCAUGGAAUUAUUUCAACCUUCUUGUAUCCAUUGAGGAAAGUUUUGUGACUGAUUAUAUGGUCAAUUUUGGAGAAGGUAUUGUGAGGUGCUGAGAAUAAGGUAUAUUCUUCUUUUAGGAUGAAAUAUUCUAUAGAUUUCUAUUAAAUCCAUUUUGUUCAUAACUUCUGUUAGUUUCUCUGUGUCUUUGUUUAGUUUUGUUUUCUAUGGUCUGUCCAUUGCUCAGAGUGGAGUGUUGAAGUCUCCCACUAUUAUUGUGUGAGAUGCAACGUGUACUUUGAGCUUUAGUAAAGUUUCUCCUAUGAAUGUGCCCUUACAUUUGGAGCAUAGAUAAUCAGAAUUGAGAUUUCAUCUUGGUGAAUUUUUCCUUUGAUAAAUGUAAAGUGUCCUUCCUCUUCUUUUUUGAUAACUUUUAGUUGAAAGUCGAUUUUAUUUGAUAUUAUAAUGGUACUCCAGCUUAAGUCUUGGGACCAUUUACUUGGAAAAUUGUUUUCCAGCCUUUCACUCUGAGGUAAUGUCUAUCUUUGUCACUGAGGUAUGUUUCCUGUAUGCAGCAAAAUGCUGGGUCCUCCUUACAUUUCCAUUCUGCAAGUCUAUGUCUUUUUAUUGGGGAAUUAAGUUUAUUGAUAUUGAGAUAUCUCAAUGACCAAUUAUUGUUGUUUCCUGUUAUUUUUGUUGUUAGAGUUGGAAUUAUGUUUGUGAGGCCAUCUUCAUUUGGGUUAGUUGAAAUCAGAUUACUUUCAUUAUUUUUCUAUCGUGUAGUUUACCUCCUUAUGUUGGAGUGUUUCAUCUAUUAUCCUUUGUAUGGAUAUAUUUGUGGGAAGAUACUGUGUAAAUUUGGUUUUGUUAUAGAAUGUUGCUAAUUUUUCCCUUACUACUUUAUAUAAUGGGAAGAAUUUAUUUUAUGGUCCAGAUUUGGAGUUCCAUAGGUUUCUUGUAUAUUUAUGGGCACCUCUUUCUUUCUCAGCACCUCACAAUACCUUCUCCACAAUUGACAGUUUUUGAAUACUUUCUAAUUGAUAACUAAUUUUGCCUCGUUUUGAAAACACAAUUUAUAUGUAUAGCAAUACUAUUUAUAUGUUAAAUGACAGUACAAUAGAAUGACUUAAUACAGUUUUAAACAAAAGGAAGGAAGUAAAAAAAUUCAGGUCAUAGAGUCCCUCACUCCAGAAACAUCUUUUUUAUUUUUAAUUUACUUUUAAAACAACAGGACAAGGUAAAUAUAUUAAGUGACUUAUAAUUAGUACUGCCCUAAUAUUCAUGAAAUUAAAGCAACUUAGAAUCCAAAUUUGUUAAGAGCUUUUAUUAUUAGUUGAUAUUUCUCCUUUUCUUCCAUUUUUAUAGGUGUGUUGCACAUUUGUGCACAGAUACAUGUAUGAGUAUGCACAUGUAAAUGCCAGAAAUUAUCCUCUGGUAAAUUAACAUCAAGAGUAUCACCUCAUUUUCUACCUUAUUCCUUUACUUAUUUUUUAGACAAGAUCCUCUUAUGGGACCUGGAACUUGAGAAUCUGGCUAGGCUAUCCAUUUAUCUAGCCUCAGAGAUUCAACUGACACCACCUCCCUAGUAUAGAGAAUGUAUGCAUGUACUACUAUGUUGAACAUUAUACCUGGGUAGUGAAGAUUGAACUUGGGUUCUAAUGCUUGAGAGUCAAGCUCUUUACUGACUGUCCUGCCUCUUAAUUAAUCACUUUGAUGCAGGGAUCACAAAAGAUUUAUAUAGUGACAAUAAUUAAAAUCAGACUCAGCUUUGAUCCCAUCCAUGCUCUGAAUCUUUAAAUAUUUUUCAUUGAUUCUAUUGUUCAAAUGUCCAUUGGCUCAUGGCAUACUUUUGAGCAUGCGAGCACAUGCUGAGCAAUAAAUAAACGGAAAAUUUCUUUCCUUCAAAAAGGCAAAUCAAGCAUUUUCAUAAGUUCUACACAACUCUUAUAGGGAACAUUGUAGAUCCCUAGCAAUGAAAUUGUCUGCACUACAGGAAACCAAAUUAAUAAGUUGUUGCUUAAGCCUCACUUACAACUAAAAAUUUUACAGGUAAUAAUAGAAAAAUAACAAAUGGAAUUUGAGAAGCUAAGAAAUGUAUAAUCAGUUCACUUGCCAGUAUGAAUCCCCACCAUAGGUACCAAGACACAGCACUACCCAAGACAUUCCUGUGUGUUAUACUUUCUAAAACACCAUGUGCUACAUAUUUGAGCAACACAGAGAAAGCUUAUAUUUAAGAGAGCUGGGGCUGGGGAUUUAGCUCAGUGGUAGAGCGCUUACCUAGGAAGCGCAAGGCCCUGGGUUCGGUCCCCAGCUCCGAAAAAAAGAACCAAAAAAAAAAAAAAGAGAGAGAGAGAGAGUUUAAAAAGUAAUAGCUGUCACUCAUAAAGAAAAGAAAUGGUAAAUAUUUGGUUUUUAUUUGCAUUUGAAACAGUUAUACUCAUAUGAAAUUAUCUGUAAUCUAGGUUGUUGCUUUGUUAUCUCCUUUGAAUUGAAAUAUGCUUUCCUAGAGAGAUGGAGCAGGAUCUUAAGAUUGAGGAAGAAAAUAAAUUGUUUAAGGUUCAGGAAGUAAAGGAAGCUUAUACGUUUGAGGAAACAUCUGAAACUUAUAAAUCAUAAGACCCUCAUCUCAGUUUAUAGAAGCACUAACAAAUAGUUUGGGAUGGAGCUUUCUUCAGCCAGUUAAUCUGCCUGCAAGUAUGGAUCUAGUAUGUGUUUGUCAACAUCCAUGCUGGGGUGAGUUUUUCAGUGACACAUCUUUUGAGUCACCUAUGCCCCUAUGAGUAACUUUUCUUCUGUGCUUCUGUAAAUAACAUCAUUAAACUCACUGGUCAUAGCUAGACUUAGGAGGAAUCAUUUCUGCAGUCUGUAUUUGUGACCUAUCUGGGAUGAAGAGAUGUUUGUUCUUGUGUUCCCAUGAAAAUUCUCACAACAAAGGUAUGUUAUAAAUGACAAUGUGCUUAAGUAGUUAAAAUUUUAGAGAUGACUUUGUAUGGAGACAUUUGCAUGGAAAUUUAUUCGUCUGUGUUGUUCUGAAGUAAACUUUUUGCUGGUCUUUUUAUUUGUGUAGAAUCAAUAGAUAUUGUUGUGGGGGGUAUGAUUUUCAAUGUUCAUAAUAAAAUUACAACUUUCAUGAUGAAUUCUUAGAUUGCUCACUCUGAGAUAAGCCAGCUGUCACCGUGUGCACAUUGUCAAGCCUACCUCCAGAUAGAGCUAUGUGGUGAAAGACUGAACCCUUCUGUGUACAGCCUCAUGAGAGAGCAAAGUCUCCUCCAUCCCCAUUUAAAUCUCAUGGUACAGAAGCGUGUAGCUUCAUGAACCUCCAGGCAGAACAUUUAUAGACCCUGGGUCUUAAACCAAAGAACUAAGAAACAACAAGUAAUUACUGCUGUUAUGAGCUUUUCAUUUCCAAUUAACUUUCAGACAUUAAGUCAAUCAAUCUCAUUUUGGUCUAUUAAAUUACUUUGGCUCUUUGUUCAUUAAAAAUGUAUAUGUGUGUAUAUUUGUUUGUAUAAGUAAAAUGUUUGUAUAAUUAUAUGUGUAUGUAUUCAUAUACAUGUAUGUAUGUGUGUGCCCAUGUAUGUUUGUGACGGAAAGGCAGUGGACAUUUAGUCAAUCUGUGAAAUAGGAACUGGACCUUCAAGAAUGUCUUCUUCUUUCUCCAGGGAUUGUGUCUACUCCCAUACCCUUUGUGGUGAGGGCAGGAGUAUCUAUGAGAGAAUAUCCAUGAGACCUAGGGUAGCAUAUAUAAAGUCUGAAACACAUUAUACACUUGGACUCUCACCUCUACUCUUCCUCAUUCCAUUGAUGGAAGUUAUUGUAAUAAAAAUAUGAUUUUUUUCUAUUUCUUUAUGUGGCUGGUGCUUUGCAACUUAUUAUCUGUGUGUCAGUGCCCUCAGCAUUGAUAAAUAUUUUUUGUAUCCAGGCCCCUGAAAAUCUCAACCACUUUCACUCUCAGAUUACUUUCGUUAUCCCCUCUCUAUGAUAUGCAGGUAUUACACUUAGUGACUCCUCCCUCUGUCUUUUCACUUUCACACUUGAGUGGUUCCCAGAACAUAGAAUUCUUUGUCUAUCCCAUAGAACAGACUCAGUGGCACCUUUAGACAACCAUUCCUCACCCAAAUUCCUGGUAAUAUAUAUGCCCCUAUGUGUAAGUACUUGGAAGAACAUUCAACAACAGGCUUCUGGAUGUCAUAGGAGAGCCUUGAGUUUUGGUGCUGGCACACCACAAUAUUUGAAACAGUAUCUCCAGUAUCUCCUGGUAAACCAAGUUAGCUUGUCUAUGAACUUUGGAAAAUAUUUUGUCUCUACCUCUCAUUUUUUUAGGAGCUCCUGUAUUGCAGGUUCACACACUGUGCCUCUGGCUUUAUCAGAGUUCCCAGAAACUCACUGAAGACUUCAUGCUUGCUUAUCAAACACUUCGUCAAUGGAGACAUCAUCUAAGUACAUUGCUUCAGUUCUUAAUCCAAUCAAUUUACUUGUAAAAGAUGUCUGAGGGAAGAAGAUCUUUACCAAUCCUACAUCUGAUAGAGGGCUAAUAUCCAAAAUAUACAAAGAACACAAGAAGUUAGACUCCAGAGAGCCAAAUAACCCUAUUAAAAAUGGGGUACAAAACUAAACAAACCAUUCUCAGCUGAGGAUUAUUGAAUGGCCAAAAAGCACUUAAAGAAAUGUUCAACAUCCUUAGUCAUCAGGGAAAGGCAAAUCAAAACAACCCCGAGAUUCCACCUCACACCAGGCAGAAUGGCUAAGAUAAAAAACUCAGGUGACAGCAGAUGCUGGCGUGGAUGUGGAGAAAGAGGAACACUCCUCCAUUGUUGGUGGGAUUGCAAACUGGUACAACCAUUCUGGAAAUCAUCUGGAGAUUCCUCAGAAAAUUGGACAUUCUACUACAUGAGGACCCAGAUAUACCUCUCCUGGGUAUAUACCCAAAAGAUUCUCCAGCAUACAACAAAGACACAUGCUCCACUAUGUUCAUAGCAGCCUUAUUUAUAAUAGCCAGAAGCUAGAAAGAACCCAGAUGCCCUUCAACAGAGGAAUGGAUUCAAAAAAUGUGGUACAUCUACACAAUGGAGUACUACUCAGCUAUCAAAAACAAUGACUUCAUGAAAUUCGUAGGCAAAUAAAAUGAACUAGAAAAUAUCCUGAGUAAGGUAACUCAAUCACAGAAAAACACACUUGGUAUGCAUUCAUUAAUAAGUGGAUAUUAACCAAAAAGCUCGAAUUACCCAAGAUGCAAUCCACAGAUCAAAGGAAGCUCAAGAAGAAGGAUGACCAAAAUUCGGAUGCUCCCACUCCUUUUUUUUUUUUUUUUUUGGUUCUUUUUUUUUCGGAACUGGGGACCGAA